Phascolarctos cinereus (koala) is the source of this 3007-nucleotide RNA transcript. It is a transcript of the gene named coiled-coil domain containing 102A, with no coding region annotated. NCBI's taxonomy places the organism in Eukaryota, Metazoa, Chordata, Mammalia, Diprotodontia, Phascolarctidae. The record is from RefSeq and is a predicted model, not a curated record.
UCCCGCCGCUGCUGCAGGAAUCUCGGCUGCCCAAAGCCCGCUCGGCUCUGCGUUUCACGGGGCUGAGCUGAGCCGAGCUGAGCUGAGCUGAGCCGGGCCAGGCCGGGCCAGGCUGGGCGGGGAGCGAGGUGGCCCAGCAUCUGAGAACGCCUCUGUGAAGGAGUCAAGUGGCCUUUCCCAACUGGACGGUGAGGGCAUGACCAGCUGCUGCCAUCAGUCACCAUACAGGGACAGGACUCCAACCAGAUAUGCAGCCUGCAGGACCCCUGUAAGGGUCACGAUGAUCAGCCAGAGGUCCACCCCACCCUGCUUCCUGAGUCAAGCACUGCUGUUCCCAGAACCAGCUGAGUCGAUGCUCUGAUUCAAGUCUGCCCUGGUGCCACCAGCCAAGUCCAGAGUGUGAGUCCUGCUCUUUGGCACAUGCGCCAUGAGUCACAGUACCAGCUCCAGGCUGGCUGAUUCUCCACAGCUCUCCAAGAGCAGCCUCUUGAACAUCUUGGGCAGCCCUUCACCUGAGCGGAUGGGCCUAGCUGACUCUCUGCCACCCACCCCACAGAGCGGGACUCCAUCUCCCGGGCCCCCCCCACUGCCCCUGUUGCCUAGUGGGUCCCCAGGGCUGGAUGGUGACUGGGAGAGCCGGGAAGAGCUACGCCUUCGAGAACUAGAGGAGGCCCGGGCCCGGGCGGCCCAGAUGGAGAAGACCAUGCGCUGGUGGUCAGACUGCACAGCCAAUUGGAGGGAGAAGUGGAGCAAGGUGAGAGCUGAACGCAACAAGGCACGGGAAGAGGUGCGCCAACUUCGGCAGAAGCUGGAGGCCUUGACUAAAGAGCUGACGGGGGCCCGGCGGGAGCGGCAGGAGGCCCUGAACCAGAGUGAACAGCUGGGCAAGGAGGUGGCUCGACUUAAGGGGGCCCGGCUACAGGAGGAGGAAGAGGAGGAGAACCACCAGGAGGGAGAGGAGGCUCGUGAGGAGGAGAAAGGCAGGGGCAAGGAGAAGGAGCUGGACAACAGGAUGGCCUCAGAGAAGGAGAGUCAGGGGGUUGGCCUCGAGCAGGAGCCCGUGCGGGAUGUAGGCUUUGAAAAGCCAGCCAAAAAUAAGGAGCUGGAACUGAUGGAGAACCUUCUGAAGAGUAAGCAAGAGGGGCCUGAGAACUGGGAGGCACGAAGCAUGGGGAGUGUCCGUGCUACCUUCAGCCGGCAGGAGCGAAGCCGACUGCUGUGGGAGGAGGUGUCCACCAUCGAGGAGGAUGUCACCAAGGUGACUGCCCUGAAGCUUCGGCUGGAUGAGUCCCAGAAGGUGCUGCUCAAGGAACGAGAGGAUAAGCUGUCACUGAGCAAGAACAUUGAAAAACUGGAAGGGGAGCUCAGCCAGUGGAAGAUCAAAUAUGAGGAGCUAAGCAAAAACAAGCAGGAAGUGCUGAAGCAGCUCAACAUCCUUAAAGAAAUGCACCAGGAUGAACUGGGCCGCAUGUCAGAGGACCUGGAAGAUGAACUUGGGGCUCGGUCCAGCAUGGACAAAAAGAUAGCAGAACUUCGAAGUGAGAUGGAGCGUCUGCAGGCAGAGAAUGCCGCCGAGUGGGGCCGGCGAGAGCGGCUCGAGACAGAGAAGCUCAACCUGGAGAGGGAGAACAAGAAACUUCGAGCCCAGAUUGAGGACCUAGAGGAGGUGCUGGCCCGAAAGCGGCGCCAGACGGCCAGCGCCCUGGACUCGGACCUCAAGGCCAUCCAGGCCGAGCUCUUUGAGAAGAACAAGGAACUGGCAGACCUCAAGCACGUUCACACCAAGCUGAAGAAGCAGUACCAGGAGAAGAUGGCGGAACUGGCCCAUGCGAACCGGCGGGUGGAGCAACACGAGGGGGAAGUCAAGAAGCUGAGGCUGCGGGUGGAGGAACUGAAGAAGGAGCUGGCCCAAGCAGAAGAUGAGCUGGAUGAAGCCCAUAAUCAGGCUCGGAAGCUGCAGAGGUCCCUAGAUGAGCAGAUAGAGCACAGUGAGAAUCUGCAAGUACAGCUGGAGCAUCUGCAGUCGAGGCUCCGCCGGCAGCAGAACACCCCACUCUUUGGAAAGAUCCGGAGUUCUCGGUUUGGGACUGAAGAACCUGGGGAUGGUACAAGUGACGUGGAUGAGGAUGAGGACCUACAGAUCCAAGUCCCUUAGUGCAAGGGAAGGACGAGGGAAGGGCCAGCUUGCCUCAGGGAAUGUUACUUGGGCCAACUCUGGGAACUGCAGCUGUUCCUUUUUAGUGUCGAUAGCCCUGGGCCUGGGCUGUGAGUGCUGGGACAAAGCAGGAAGCUGCUUGGAACUUUGCCCUUACCAGGCUGAGGGUAGGGCGCACCCUACUGAGGACAGGCAAAGGUGAUCCAGUAGACCCACAUGGCCAGGUUUCGUCCCCCUUGUCUCCCAGCCGAUUCCUCCUGCUCCCCUUCCUGUCUCUCCUUUCUCCCCUAGCCUCCACCAUACCCUCAACCUUCUACAAAUUCACAAGGACAUAGUAAGCAUAAGAAAAUGACUUUAUCGGGCCAUUAUGGGAGCUGAGAUCAACCAGGUCCUGCCUAUCCAAUUCCCUAAAAAGGGUCCUUUUUUCCAACCUCUGAUCAAUUCCAUCCUUCUCUGGACUGUUUCCAGCUUCCCCACAUUUCCCUGUGAACAUUAAUUUUUUUAUGGAUGAUCAAAUCCGGAUGGAGGAGAGGAACUGGCCACACAAUGAAUUUGAUGACCAUGAAGCAAGGGAGCCAGUUGCAGAUAUCAGAGUGAGGGGAGGUGGUUAUAUGCAUAGGGAAUAGGUGAUGUUUUCACUGAACUUAAACCUUGCACCAACUUUCAGGACAAAAGGAUGGGGUGGGGCUCUCCCAUUUGGUGAAGAGAAGGAUUUCCUGGCACCUACCCAAGAUCAUCUCCCAGCCAGAAGCUUGGACAGGUCAGCACAGAUACAGUCUGUGGAAACCAUUUCCCUAAGCUUAAUGGGAAGGACAAUAGGAAGGUAUUGGAUAGGGGUGGGGAACCUGUGAC